GGUCAGGUAGCUCAGUCGGUAGAGCAACGGCCUGAAAAGCCGUGUGUCGUCGGUUCGAUUCCGUCCCUGACCACAA
RNAcentral lists this transfer RNA (76 nucleotides) under Ignavibacteriota bacterium. RNAcentral describes it as "Ignavibacteriae bacterium tRNA-Phe". It matches the Rfam family "tRNA". Rfam says of the family: Transfer RNA (tRNA) molecules are approximately 80 nucleotides in length. Their secondary structure includes four short double-helical elements and three loops (D, anti-codon, and T loops). Further hydrogen bonds mediate the characteristic L-shaped molecular structure. tRNAs have two regions of fundamental functional importance: the anti-codon, which is responsible for specific mRNA codon recognition, and the 3' end, to which the tRNAs corresponding amino acid is attached (by aminoacyl-tRNA synthetases). tRNAs cope with the degeneracy of the genetic code in two manners: having more than one tRNA (with a specific anti-codon) for a particular amino acid; and 'wobble' base-pairing, i.e. permitting non-standard base-pairing at the 3rd anti-codon position. Lineage: Bacteria; Pseudomonadati; Ignavibacteriota. RNAcentral also lists the same sequence under 3 other names. The record is from RNAcentral.